Theobroma cacao (cacao) is the source of this 401-nucleotide non-coding RNA. The record is from RefSeq and is a predicted model, not a curated record. NCBI's taxonomy places the organism in Eukaryota, Viridiplantae, Streptophyta, Magnoliopsida, Malvales, Malvaceae.
AAAAAAGCUUGGUUUUGUAAUUCAAGCAAGCUAAGCUAUGGUGGCCACGGGUGUGAGGGAAUUAUGAAUUUUGUCGGGUGAAAUCCAAGCUAAAACAAAGUGGAAGUGCAAAGGUAAAGUUAGAGUACUGUGGUGGUGUACCGGGGGAAAUAACGAGGUACUGGCAAGUAGGAAUAGCUAGAUACACCUUCGAACAAAUAUCGAUGUAAUGUCUUGCUAUCGUAAAUGAAAGCACCUUGGAUUUUAUCUGGCCAAAAUUUUGUUGCAGCGAGAAUGCCUUUUCACUGCGGUUUCCUGAGUUAAAGGUAAUUGGAUCCUAGGGCGAGGUGCUUUUCCCUAUCCAUUGCUCGGUAGGUUUAACAUGACACUAAACGUUAGCAGUCAUGCCCAAAGUCACUUCG